This 529-nucleotide ribosomal RNA is filed under the name uncultured bacterium. RNAcentral describes it as "bacterial SSU rRNA". It matches the Rfam family "Bacterial small subunit ribosomal RNA", at positions 110 to 657 of the family's 1533-position model. The record is from RNAcentral.
GUAACGCGUGGUCAACUACCGUUGAGUGGGGGAUAACUAGCCGAAAGGUUAGCUAAUACCGCAUACGAGUCCGAGGGGCAUCCCUUGGCCUUAAAAGGAGCAGUCCGCUCGAUGACGGGACCGCGUCCCAUUAGCUAGAUGGUGGGGUAACGGCCUACCAUGGCACCGAUGGGUAGCUGGUUUGAGAGAGCGACCAGCCACACUGGGACUGAGAAACGGCCCAGACUCCUACGGGAGGCAGCAGUGAGGAAUUUUCCGCAAUGGGCGAAAGCCUGACGGAGCGACGCCGCGUGUGGGAAGAAGGCCUUCGGGUCGUAAACCACUGUCGAAGGGGACGAUAAUGACGGUACCCUUGGAGGAAGCCCCGGCUAACUACGUGCCAGCAGCCGCGGUAAGACGUAGGGGGCGAGCGUUAUUCGGAAUUAUUGGGCGUAAAGCGCUCGUAGGCGGGAUCGAUAGUCCGUGAAGAAAGACCUGGGCUCAACUCAGGGAACGGCACGGAUACUUCGAUUCUUGAGGCAAUCAGAGG